GGGGUUAUAGCGCAGUUGGUAGCGNACCUCAAUGGCAUUGAGGGGGUCAGCGGUUCGAAUCCGCUUAGCUCCA
RNAcentral lists this transfer RNA (73 nucleotides) under Nostoc flagelliforme FACHB-838. RNAcentral's name for it is "tRNA-Ala". It matches the Rfam family "tRNA". Rfam says of the family: Transfer RNA (tRNA) molecules are approximately 80 nucleotides in length. Their secondary structure includes four short double-helical elements and three loops (D, anti-codon, and T loops). Lineage: Bacteria; Bacillati; Cyanobacteriota; Cyanophyceae; Nostocales; Nostocaceae. The record is from RNAcentral.